GUCUUUCAAGAGACAUCUGAUAAAAUUGGAACGAUACAGAGAAGAUUAGAAUGGCCCUGCGCAAGGAUGACACGUACAAAUCAAGAAUUAGUUCAACAAUUUUUU
This 105-nucleotide small nuclear RNA is filed under the name Amborella trichopoda. Lineage: Eukaryota; Viridiplantae; Streptophyta; Magnoliopsida; Amborellales; Amborellaceae. The record is from RNAcentral.